Molecule: ribosomal RNA, 468 nt
Filed under: uncultured bacterium
Lineage: Bacteria
Description: partial 16S ribosomal RNA
Rfam family: Bacterial small subunit ribosomal RNA
Source: RNAcentral
GACGAACGCUGGCGGCGUGCUUAAUACAUGCAAGUCGAACGAAAAGGCCCUGCUCUUGUUGGGUUCUCGAGUGGCGAACGGGUGAGUAAAACGUGAGUAACCUGCCCUUAACUUUGGGAUAACUUCAGGAAACUGGGGCUAAUACCGCAUAGAAGCUCCUGCUGCAUGGUGGGGGUUGGAAAGUUUCGGCGGUUGGGGAUGGACUCGCGGCUUAUCAGCUGGUUGGUGGGGUAGUGGCUUACCAAGGCUUUGACGGGUAGCCGGCCUGAGAGGGUGACCGGCGACAUUGGGACUGAGAGACGGCCCAGACUCCUACGGGAGGCAGCAGUGGGGAAUAUUGCACAAUGGGCGGAAGCCUGAUGCAGCAACGCCGCGUGCGGGAUGACGUCCUUCGGGUUGUAAACCGCUUUCGCCUGUAACGAAGCGUGAGUGACGGUAAUGGGUAAAGAAGCACCGGCUAACUACGUG